AGAGAAAGCGUGAAGCUGCCAGCAUGAUCUAUCUGACUUGUGGUGGCAAGUGCCACAGCAAAUUCAGCAACGCCGUGGCUUCGGGGCCGGC
Brachypodium distachyon (stiff brome) is the source of this 91-nucleotide non-coding RNA. The record is from RefSeq and is marked provisional. Lineage: Eukaryota; Viridiplantae; Streptophyta; Magnoliopsida; Poales; Poaceae.